GACCGCGACCCCAGGUCAGGCGGGACGACCC
RNAcentral lists this ribosomal RNA (31 nucleotides) under Veronica polita. RNAcentral describes it as "partial 26S ribosomal RNA". Lineage: Eukaryota; Viridiplantae; Streptophyta; Magnoliopsida; Lamiales; Plantaginaceae. The record is from RNAcentral.